AUCGGGUCACUAUUAAAACAUUUUCCUCAGACCCCUGAGUUUCCCAGUGCCCUUCUUUCCUACAUAAGUAGGUGCUUCCAUUGAACAUUUCUUUCAUUUGAAGCAUCAAAUUCCACGUGGGUCCUUGAUCUCUCGGUUCCCAUUCCAGUGCUUAUAAUAGUCUCUCUCAUAGAGUAUCACACCCCAUAUCCCACGUUCUGACAUCAUCACAGCCUUGAAGUCUAGAGCCUUCCUUUCUUCUAAAGUCCACCAUCCUUUUCUCUCUGAUCUUAAAUUUCCCAGAUUUCCAAGAUAUCCGUGGCUUUCUUAUCGGUGACCAGUGACAUGUUUAACCAGAAGGAUAAGCUCACCAACUAGAUUGGAAGAGGAUAGGAUAUGGGAAGUUGUAAAAUUCACAAGUGUGCAGAGGGCAGUGGGGGAGUGGGGCCUGGAGGUGGGGGAACAUGAGGGGAUCAUCAGUCCCAGGAAGGGAUUGGUCAGAGGACAUGGAGAUCUGAAGCAGUGGAGGAUGGAAGACUCUGGGUUUGCCUGGCUUUAGUCCACUCACCUGCUACAUCACCUUUGGCAAAAUGCUACCAUUUAGAAUCCUGACUCUUUUCAACUGAAACCAAAAGGAUCCCCCUUCUCCCAGGAUGACUUCCUGAUUUCCAUCCUGCCAUCCCUCAAGGAAAUUGACACCAUGGUCUCCAUUUUUACCCUAAAUGAUAAUCUCACAGAAGUACAGGCCCUGGUUGAAAGGAUGAGGGAGAAGAGCCAGAACAUCCAGGCCCUGGUGCACAGCACUGUGGGGCAGUCCUUGCCAGCCCUGCUAAAGAAACUCUUUCCCUCGCUCAUCAGCAUCACAUGGCCACUUCUUUUCUUCGAUUACAAAGGGAGCUACGUUCAGGUAGGCGGGCAUGAGAAGGCAAUGUUUCCUAA
Molecule: long non-coding RNA, 918 nt
Organism: Grammomys surdaster
Lineage: Eukaryota; Metazoa; Chordata; Mammalia; Rodentia; Muridae
Exons: 4
Source: RefSeq, a predicted model, not a curated record